UACGGAGGGUGCAAGCAUUAAUCGGAUUUAUUGGGCGUAAAGGGCGCGUAGGCGGACGUAUAAGUCAGAUGUGAAAUCCCGGGGCUCAACCCCGGAACAGCAUUUGAAACUGUAUGUCUAGAGGGUAGGCGGAGAAAACGGAAUUCCACAAGUAGCGGUGGAAUGCGUAGAUAUGUGGAAGAACACCGGUGGCGAAGGCGGUUUUCUAGCUUACUCCUGACGCUGAGGCGCGAAAGCUAGGGGAGCAAACAGG
Molecule: ribosomal RNA, 253 nt
Filed under: uncultured bacterium
Lineage: Bacteria
Description: partial 16S ribosomal RNA
Rfam family: Bacterial small subunit ribosomal RNA
Source: RNAcentral